Non-coding RNA from Camelina sativa (false flax), 210 nucleotides. NCBI's taxonomy places the organism in Eukaryota, Viridiplantae, Streptophyta, Magnoliopsida, Brassicales, Brassicaceae. The record is from RefSeq and is a predicted model, not a curated record.
UUUGUCACCCCUGGGGGAAGUGUGUAGGGGAGUCUGAUGUUGUGAGUAAGGUGGAGCCGGCUUAUCCAUCUCUCGUGCUAGCAGCAACAUUGGAUUCUGAUGAGCAUUUCCCAAGCCGCUAGCAUUGGAUGACCAUCGAAAUUAAUGUGUGUGAGGGUUAGAAGAGAAGAAAGAAACAUUGUGAAAGUGAAUGGUUUGCGUAUGAAGCUA